GACGAACGCUGGCGGCGUGCUUAACACAUGCAAGUCGAACGGAAAGGCCCUGCUUUUGUGGGGUGCUCGAGUGGCGAACGGGUGAGUAACACGUGAGUAACCUGCCCUUGACUUUGGGAUAACUUCAGGAAAAUGGGGCUAAUACCGGAUAGGAGCUCCUGCUGCAUGGGGGGGGUUGGAAAGUUUCGGCGGUUGGGGAUGGACUGGCGGCUUACCAGCUUGUUGGUGGGGUAGUGGCUGACCAAGGCUUUGAAGGGUAGCCGGCCUGAGAGGGUGGCCGGCCACAUGGGGACUGCGAUACGGCCCAGACUCCUACGUGAGGCAGCAGUGGGGAAUAUUGCACAAUGGGCGCAAGCCUGAUGCAGCAACGCCGCGUGCGUGAUGACGGCCUUCGGGUUGUAAACCGCUUUCGCCUGUGACGAAGCGUGAGUGACGGUAAUGGGUAAAGAAGCACCGGCUAACUACGUG
RNAcentral lists this ribosomal RNA (468 nucleotides) under uncultured bacterium. RNAcentral describes it as "partial 16S ribosomal RNA". It matches the Rfam family "Bacterial small subunit ribosomal RNA", at positions 28 to 507 of the family's 1533-position model. The record is from RNAcentral.